RNAcentral lists this long non-coding RNA (750 nucleotides) under Homo sapiens (human). Its description in RNAcentral is "long non-coding RNA NONHSAT186000.1". Lineage: Eukaryota; Metazoa; Chordata; Mammalia; Primates; Hominidae. The record is from RNAcentral.
GGCAUUUUUCCAGAGGUGGAGCCACCUGAGGCUAUUCCUGAAAUUCCAGAACAUCCUCCAACUGAAGAGUUUGAAGUCUUCAAGGAAGUCAUUCCAGAGGGAGAAACUCCUAUUGUUAAAAGAAGAAAAACACCAUCACCAACAGCACCAGAAGCUAUGAAAGAAGUUGUCCCUGAAAUGAAAAUAUUUGAGGAUGUACCUGAAGAGCCAGAAACUCCACGUAUGAAAACGCCCGAAGCUCCUCAAGAAAUUAUUCCUGCCAAGACAGUUCCUUCCAAAAAAAGAGAACCCCCAUCAGUUAAAGUGCCUGAAGCUCUCCAAGAAAUUGUCCCUGAAAAGAAAACGCUUGUGGUUCCUCUCAGAAAGCCUGAAGUCCUUCCUGAUGAAGUGCCGGAGGCUCUCAGAGAAGUUGUCCCGGAAAAGAAAGUGCAUCCUCCCCAAAGGGCUGAAGUUGUACCUGUCAAAGUGCACGAAGCUCCCAAAGAGAUUAUCCCUGAAAAGAAAGUGUCGGUGGUGCCUCCUAAAAAGCCUGAAGUCCCACCUGUUAAAGUGCCAGAAGCUUCCAAAGAGGUUAUCCGCGAAGAGAAAGUGCCCUUGGCUCCUCCUAAAGAGCCUGAAGUCCCACCUGUUAAAGUACCAGAGCCUCCCAAAGAAGUAGUUCCUGAAAAGAAAGCGCCAGUGGCUCCUCCUAAAGAGCCUGAAGUCCCACCUGUUAAAGUGCCUGAGGCUCCCAAAGAAGUUGUUCCUGAA